GCCGAAUAUCAAGGUUUCACGCCAGUUAACCAUCAAUGUUCCAAUAACAACGCCAGUCACGUCUCGUUUGUUAGCAGCCUGCUUUCAAGCAGUCGAGUUACUAAACCACUUUAGUUACUGAAAACCUCAUUUUAAUACCGUAUUUCGACGUUAGAAGUAUUUCUUUUGCCAUACCGGAAAGCUUUUUGUCAUGGCGAAUAUGCACGUAACAUGCUUAUAAACGUCCGAGUCAC
This is a non-coding RNA of Paramuricea clavata, 233 nucleotides long. NCBI's taxonomy places the organism in Eukaryota, Metazoa, Cnidaria, Anthozoa, Malacalcyonacea, Plexauridae. The record is from the annotation of a GenBank genome assembly.